RNAcentral lists this ribosomal RNA (251 nucleotides) under uncultured prokaryote. RNAcentral's name for it is "partial 16S rRNA". It matches the Rfam family "Bacterial small subunit ribosomal RNA", at positions 525 to 775 of the family's 1533-position model. The record is from RNAcentral.
ACGUAGGGAGCAAGCGUUAUCCGGAUUUACUGGGUGUAAAGGGCGCGUAGGCGGGAAUUCAAGUCAGAUGUGAAAUCUGAGGGCUCAACCCUGAAAGUGCACGCGAAACUGAAGUUCUUGAGGGCUGGAGAGGUGAGUGGAAUUCCUAGUGUAGCGGUGAAAUGCGUAGAUAUUAGGAGGAACACCAGUGGCGAAGGCGACUCGCUGGACAUUUUCUGACGCUGAGGCGCGAAAGCGUGGGGAGCAAACAG